RNAcentral lists this long non-coding RNA (235 nucleotides) under Vigna radiata. RNAcentral describes it as "long non-coding RNA (VRAD_LNC013548)". The record is from RNAcentral. Lineage: Eukaryota; Viridiplantae; Streptophyta; Magnoliopsida; Fabales; Fabaceae.
UAGUGUUGACCAGACAUCCUUGGUGAUCCGUCACAUGUCGCCCGAUCCCUACGAUACACAGGCUCCCCAAGCCCUAAGCAACAUAGUUGCUGUAGGGUUUGAAUCUGAGUAUCGAUGGCCGUGGGUUCGGUAGCUGACCGAAUGUCGGGGAUGCAAGAGCUCUUGGGCAGAAAAAGACAUGUGUCGCUUGCUGGCCUAUUGUUCACCUCUGGUAGUUGUAACAUCUACAGAUCUG